CAGGGCUGCUCAGGUAAACUUCAACAUUGUCAACGUGCUUAACACUUUAUCUGAUAUUUUAUUCUUCAUAAUGACCCUGAAAUGUAAUGACUUUUAUAAGCCACACCUGGUAAAUGUGAAACUGAAAACUAGAAAUGCUGAGAAACCGCUGUGUUCACAUUGCUGAUAAGAUGAGGGCACUGUAUGAUGACACCCCUUCAGAACCCAUAGCAAGUGGGACAUCAGGAGGUGUUAUGGGACUAAUGGCAAAGAAGACAACUAUGCCGCUUUCGUUGUUUAUUAUUUAUAUCAUCCAGAAAGUCCAAAAUACAUACUCAGUCCAUCUAUUGGUUAGGCCUUUUCUUGUUGCGAAUACCGACUAUGACUAGCUUGAAGGGUUUUUUCUUUAAAAAAAGGAAAACAACAAAAAACAACAACAACAAAAACCUACCUUAGGGUGUCCUAUAGAAUGCAUGGAGGAAUUGAACUUGCAUACUGAAAAGACAGUAAUAAGGGCUUUAAGCCUAAGAAAUUGUCUCUGGCUUUUCCCUCUAGCAGUAUUUCUUACCUGGGCCACAAUUGACAUUUUAAACAGGACACUUUGGUGAAGGGCAGGACCAUCUGUUUCUGAUGCCUGACAUAGGCCUUUGCCCCUGAGUCCCAGUAGUGACCCUAGUCAUUGUGACAACCAAAUAAACAUGCUAAAUAUUUCCAAGUGUCCCACAGGGAGGUGAUGCAACAUCUGCAGUUUGAGAACCUGCCGGAGCAGCCAAGCACAUUACCAUUAUUGUGACUCAGCUCUCAGGACAUUCAGUAUCCACAUAAUCAGUUCUAAAUUUCAGAAUCUCUUGAUUUCCAGUCAAAGGCCAAUUCCUCGGCCGAUCUGGGUGGCCUGGGCCAGGUCAUGCCAUUUUCAGUGUGGUGGCUCCCUUGGUAGCCUUGUCCCACUUGCCAUAGGUUCUGAAGGGGAUGCAGUUCCACAGUAGGUGGGUCUUGUUCAGAUAAAAUUGUAUACAUCCACAACAGUUAAAUUCAUCUAUUUAUUACUUACUAAUUUGGCAUCAAGUAUACGCAAUCUGCUGGCUGCUCUCUUAGGUGAUUUUCUUAUACUUUCUUACUUAAUUCAUGCGACCUGCACCCACAGUAGGUAAUAUGGUCUGUGUUUUGUGGAUGAAAAGUCUGAGACUCAGGAGGGUUCAUUUGACUCAGGAGAUAGAAGUAACUUGACUAGGGAGAUACAUGGUUGAACAGAGUUGAGAGGAAAAAGAAGGGAAAAUAAAAGUGUUUCUGGUUGUCACAGUAUUCAUUUAUGUACUUUUUGUGAAUAAAACACUAACAGAAGUUAAGUGGAAAAAAGAAACCCCUAAAGGUAUAUAAAAGUCAUAUAAAAUGCUUUUUCUUUUUACCUGGAAUGCUGUCAAGUGACCUUUAAUCAAUCAUAUCUUUCUAUGGACUUCAGAUUCUUCUGUAUAAAAUUAGAUGUUUGGAUUGGAUGAUUUCUAAAGCCUCUUAAUUUUUAUCACUUGGGAACUAUUUGACCUAACUUAAGAUGCAAGACAAAUAUGACUAUUUGACUAUCAAAAUUUAUUUUUGCUCCAUUUUUGAAACCUAUUAAAAUAAAUAUAAAUGAAAUAAAAAGGCAUAAAUUUAUGAAGAUCACAAGAAUGGGAGAGUGAGACAACAAUAGGCAAAUGAUGUCUGUAAAAUUUUGGUGCUUGCAAAAUAAAUAGAUAAAUGGUAACGGAGACCAGAGAAAGCAGAACCCUGAGCUGGCAGACGGGGAAGAAUUCAACCAGAAACAUGUUCAUUACUGUGGGAAAACUCGAGAGCGCUCAGGAAUUGUAGGUAGCAAUUACUGUAAAGGUGGAUUUAUGGAUUAGAACUGACAAGAGUAGACUUGGUUGAAAGGUAUAAGAAGUAGUUAGAUCACAAGAUGUUCUCAUCUUAUAAAACCAGGCAUCUGCCCCUCCACACUCUAGCAAAAGACCAGAGGUUUCCUGAAGAGGUUGAAUUGGACAACUGUGAGGCUCCAAGAUACAGACAGAUACAACUGAGGAUGAGGGUGAGAUAUCACACUGAAAAUGAGGGAAUUGUUUCCUUUAAAUAAAAGUGUGCGUGCUUAGUGAUGGGAUUCCCAGUAUUCUGGCAGCUGGGCUUACACCUCCUCUUAAGAGAUUGAGGAGUUUCUCUUCAGGGAAGUGCCUCGCCCAAGUGAAACGAAAUACAGAUACUGAUAUUUCAGUAGCUCUUGAUAAAAUAACUCAGCUGCCAUAUUUGCAAUGAAGACUACUGUUGCCAAGUCCUAUGUAUGAAAACACAACUUCCAGUCAGCAAUCCGGAAUUUUUAAGAACAGAUAGUAGAGGAUUACCAGACAUCUGAGGAAAUCCCAUAAAAGAGAAAGAGACCAGCUCACAAAAUGGGGAAGGGGAGACUCUUGGAAGAAGCAGAUACUUUAAACUCCAAGGCGGGGACAGGCUGCUGUCAUCAAUAUCUUCAGAAAGGAUGAGAAAUUUAAUUGUUUCCACAAAGUAUAACAAAACACCAUAAAGAAGAAACAGCUUUAAGACAGUCCUAUUCGUAAACAUUUGAUAGCAAAAAUGAAGGAAUCAGUAGAUAUAUAGGAAAUGUAUUUAAAUUCUCCAGAAAGUAAAACAGAGAGACACAAAUAAUAAAAGAGAAAUUUAGAGAUAGCAGUCCAUCUCAGGAUGUCCAAUGUCCAAAUAAUAGAAUUUUCAGAAAGAUAAUAAAAGUAAAUGGGGAGCUAGAAUCAGGUGGGAUUGUAUGGGUCAGUACCCAGUCCCAUUCUUGCUCCCCAUUUACUCCACUUUUUCACUCUGUAGUAGUAUUAGACUUUGUAAACUCUGCAAGUAUAACUUUUAUAUUUAAAAAUAUUUUACUGAAAAUGGCAUUUUAACAAGCAAAAAAUAAUUACAUGCAAAGAUUAAAAAUAUAUAUUUGAGUUUUGGUUGAAGACCAAUAAAAUUAAAAGUUGGAAGGAAAAAAUACCACUUAGAUUUUUUAAAGUGCUAAGUACUUAUUUCAGGAAAAUUACUUCAAUUGCCAUAGUUAGGUAAAUUGAGGAACAAUUUUCUCUCAGAAACAGCAGCACAGCAGUGGCAUGGAUCACGGAAGAAGUGGCUGCUAUGUGAGUUUGUAAUCAAGCAUCUUGCCAAGGCGAACAGCUUCCUCCCUGCUGAUUUUCUAUUUGGUAGCAAGAAGUAGUCAUGAUUUACCUUAAUUAUAGCAAGGCUUUUAAAAAUUGUGUGAAAUUCCUGAUUUUUUUUUUGUAUUCAAGAUGUAUGUAUUGAGUGUCUGUUAUCUGGCAAGCAUUGUUUUAAACAGUUUAUUUAUAUUGACUUCUUUAAUCCUUAGAACAGCCCUAUGAAGGUAGGUCUUGUUGUCAUUCCUAUUUUACAGAUGAAGAAACUGAGGUAUAGACAGGUUAGGUAACUUGCCCAGGUUUACUCAGCUGGCAAACAGAAAAGGCUAGGUUUUAAAUCAUGGUAGUCUGGUUACAGAAGGCAUACCCUUAAUUAAUUCACUACUAUUCUGCUUGUUAAGGAACCACAGACAUCUGAGUUUAAAUAAAUUGCCCACAUUCCCAUAGCUAGUUAUUUUAGAAGCAAUGAAUUUUAUUGUAAAGCUUCCAUCAGCCACCGAAUGCUUAAGAACUCAUCUAAGCCAGUCCUCUCAUUGAUUGAAUAACUAGAUCUAAGGGCUGACCAGGUAGAAGAACCAGGUAUUCCACAGUGACCAGUGUAGUGCAUGUUAGAGACACCUGGUGUCAUUUUUUCUCACCUACAUUCUCAUCCUAGAAGUGUUCAUUCAUGGUGAUAUUUAACGUGUGCUGAAACUGUUAGGAUAGCAACCGAGGAAUUCUGGGAAAUUAGCUUCAUUCACAGUUGUGGAAUAUAGCCAUCACUGAAAUAAAUAUAAAGAAAUAUAUCAGGGCUUUUUAUUUUACGUUUAGCCCCGUUUUAUGUGGUUUGUGGGAAACAUCAUAUUUUAAUGCAUGUAGCAGGAGCUUAAAUAUUUGCCAUUAAUCAAUGAUGUGUAGCACACUACAGUGUUUCUUAACAUUCAAGAUUAAUAAGUUACUUUCAGAUAUAAAUGCUACAAAUUUGGUUGUUUAUUUUUCCUAGUUCAACUUUGUGGGGAAACUUUUGGGUCCACGUGGCAAUUCUCUGAAGCGUUUACAAGAAGAAACCUUGACAAAAAUGUCCAUCCUUGGGAAAGGUUCCAUGAGAGACAAGGCCAAGGAAGAAGAGUUGAGGAAAAGUGGAGAAGCGAAGUACUUCCAUCUCAAUGAUGAUCUCCAUGUUCUCAUUGAAGUGUUUGCCCCACCUGCAGAAGCUUAUGCCAGGAUGGGACAUGCUUUGGAAGAAAUCAAAAAGUUCCUCAUCCCUGUUAGUACCAUUUUUCUUGAUAGUUAACUUGUACUUUAAAGUCUUUGCUUUAAUCCUUGAUAAUUCUUGUCUGUAACUGUUAUUUGCAUAGCUCCUUUUCUGCUGUAAAGCUGUAUGGACAUCACCUCAAGUAGACCUUACAGUGUCCCUGUAAAUUACUGGGCAUUAUUCCUUAUGUAUAUAUGAGGUGUUAGAAUUUCAGGAAGAUUUAAUAAUAUGGCCAAGGUUACAUGGCUAAAAAACUUGCAUAGCACAAUCACUAGUUCAGGUUUUGAAACGCUUUUCCUACGAUUUUAUGUGACACUGUACAAUUUUUUUGUUCUCCAACACAAAACCAUUAGUGCCUCUGUGUGCCAUGCACAGUGCUUGGUGUUGGCAUGCAGACUUGAAUAAAAGCAGUCCCUGCCCUCAUUUAGUAUAAUAUAAUACGUAAUUUAGAGGAAAAGAGAAACAUCAACAGAUGAUUUCAGUACAACAUGAUAAAUAUAACAGACAUAACCAUAAUGAGCCCAGAGGGGAUGGGCUAUUUAGCUAGCUUCUGCCAAGUAUUUUGGAUGUUUUGUUAAAAAUUGUCUGUUUUAACCCUUUCAGACACCUUGACAUUGCUAAGGAUGUGACAAUUUAAAGGGAAUACAUCUCUACCUCUGUUACGAAAGUUGAUUUAAGUCUUUUGUGUGAUUUGUAUGCUCUUGAUAAAAGGACUUCUUAUGUCAUUUGCAUGCUCUUGAUAAAAAGAAUCGUAAAGCAUCAACACUUUGGCUCUGCAGACAGUUUAUUUUAGAGAAGCUGACACAUCUGCCAAGUAGUUCUCUGGAUAAGACUGUCUUUGGUUAUCCCAGGUUAGUUUGGUGGAUUGACUUACAUACUACAGCACAUGUACUGUGAUUAUAUUAUCCGUGAGGAAAACAAUUAUUAUAUUUAUAGGGAAAGGAUAUUUAAAUCACUUUUGCCUUUAAAAAGCCAGGACAUAGAAUUGCAUUAAGUAUGUAAUAACCUGGGAACUGAAAUGGCUAGUAUUUUCUUUAGUUCCCAUGAGCAAAUAUGACAAUCUAUUUCUUCUUUUAGUUUAAAAACAAAA
Molecule: small RNA, 5464 nt
Filed under: Pan troglodytes (chimpanzee)
Lineage: Eukaryota; Metazoa; Chordata; Mammalia; Primates; Hominidae
Description: retained intron
Source: RNAcentral